Long non-coding RNA from Crotalus tigris (Tiger rattlesnake), 691 nucleotides. RefSeq lists it as uncharacterized. The transcript is spliced from 2 exons. The record is from RefSeq and is a predicted model, not a curated record. NCBI's taxonomy places the organism in Eukaryota, Metazoa, Chordata, Lepidosauria, Squamata, Viperidae.
AUGGGCCACUAAUUCAGGAGACAGCUGUUGAGAGACAACCAUCUGCAUAGGCCUGGAUAAGGAGGGAAAACUAAGGCCUCAAAGGGACAGACCCCUAAAUAACGCACCGGAACAGCGUUCCAGCACCUUUUUUUGAAGAGAAGAACCGGCUCCUUCUAAGCCACCAAUGUGAGUAAAGCUCUGGCUCGGUGAAAGGAAGCUGCUCGGGGAAAUCUGGAGCAUUGAAGGUCGACCCGGAAACACUUCCAUGGCCCUGAAAGCAGACCCUCUUCUCUUCCUUGGUUCACCGGGCUCCCCCCAUCUCCACCACCUGUGCUCAUCCCUGCGUUGGUUGGCAGGGACCAGGACGAGGUCCUGGAGCAACUCUCUUUGAGGGACCAGGAGUGCUCCCAAAACAGCAGCACCGCCACUGCCUUGGGUGCUCUGGCUCUGGAGGAAGCCUCUGCCAUCAGAGGCGGAGGAGGACAAAGUGGCAGAAGACAUCCUGGCUCUGAAUAAGCGCCCUAUGAAAAGCCAUGGCAAUGCUGUCCAUCAGCUAACGCUGCUCACAUGAUCUGUGCCUCGGAAACUCCCUAAAGUGGUUCUCCCCCGCUCCAUAAAGGACUUUCGACUGGAGCGGGAUGCGGCAUGCUAGAGGCUUCCGCCAGUCCAUCAAAGCUGUGCGUGACUUCUGACACCUUUUUUUUUUUUU